This 468-nucleotide ribosomal RNA is filed under the name uncultured bacterium. RNAcentral's name for it is "partial 16S ribosomal RNA". It matches the Rfam family "Bacterial small subunit ribosomal RNA", at positions 28 to 507 of the family's 1533-position model. The record is from RNAcentral.
GACGAACGCUGGCGGCGUGCUUAACACAUGCAAGUCGAACGGAAAGGCCCUGCUUUUGUGGGGUGCUCGAGUGGCGAACGGGUGAGUAACACGUGAGUAACCUGCCCUUGACUUUGGGAUAACUUCAGGAAACUGGGGCUAAUACCGGAUAGGAGCUCCUGCUGCAUGGUGGGGGGUGGAAAGUUUCGGCGGUUGGGGAUGGACUCGCGGCUUAUCAGCUUGUUGGUGGGGUAGUGGCUUACCAAGGCUUUGACGGGUAGCCGGCCUGGGUGGGUGACCGGCCACAUUGGGACUGAGAUACGGCCCAGACUCCUACGGGAGGCAGCAGUGGGGAAUAUUGUACAAUGGGCGGAAGCCUGAUGCAGCAACGCCGCGUGCGGGAUGACGGCCUUCGGGUUGUAAAACGCUUUAGCCUGUGACGAAGCGUGAGUGACGGUAAUGGGUAAAGAAGCACCGGCUAACUACGUG